Molecule: long non-coding RNA, 614 nt
Organism: Chenopodium quinoa (quinoa)
Lineage: Eukaryota; Viridiplantae; Streptophyta; Magnoliopsida; Caryophyllales; Amaranthaceae
Exons: 3
Source: RefSeq, a predicted model, not a curated record
AAACUGAAAACGAUUCAUCCUAGCCGUAGAUUAUAAUCUAGCGGAUGACGUCUAACGUUUAUAUUCUGAUUUUCUCUCUCUCCCACGAAAACAAUUUCUCUCUCCUCCGUUAUUUUCUUCCUCCUCUCUCCUACUUUCUCGACAUUUUUUCCCUAAUUUUCACGCUACUUUUUCAAAUUCAGCUUCAAUUACUUUGAUUUUCAGCAAUUUUUUAGCUCUAUGAUCUAUUAUCAGUGGAAGAAGAAGCGUAUGAGGAGAUUGAAGAGGAAGCGCCGAAAGAUGAGACAGAGAUCUAAGUAGAAGAAGAUCUACAACUUUCACGAUUUUUCACUCGUCAAACAGUUUAACCCUAAUUCUCUCAAAUUCGUUCUUCAAAUACUCCAAUGUUGCUCGCAUUUAUUGUUAGAAGUUGAAAGCUGAUUCGUUGGAAUCGGAUAGCUUAUGGUUCCUGGUAAGGUACAGAAGAAUCACAAUUUGGCUAAUACAAAGUUAUCAAAUGACAAGGAGGAGCAGGAGAAGUUAUAUGAUGACAAGGAGGAGAAGGAGAAGUUAUCUUAAUUUUGUAUAUCGUGACCUUUAUGUAAAUAUGGUCAAAAUUGAUAUAGUUACCUUAU